RNAcentral lists this ribosomal RNA (497 nucleotides) under uncultured bacterium. RNAcentral describes it as "partial 16S ribosomal RNA". It matches the Rfam family "Bacterial small subunit ribosomal RNA", at positions 28 to 507 of the family's 1533-position model. The record is from RNAcentral.
GAUGAACGCUGGCGGCGUGCCUAAUACAUGCAAGUCGAGCGAACAGACGAGGAGCUUGCUCCUCUGACGUUAGCGGCGGACGGGUGAGUAACACGUGGAUAACCUACCCAUAAGAAUGGGAUAACUUCGGGAAACCGGAGCUAAUACCGGAUAAUAUAUUGAACCGCAUGGUUCAAUAGUGAAAGACGGUUUUGCUGUCACUUAUAGAUGGAUCCGCGCCGCAUUAGCUAGUUGGUAAGGUAACGGCUUACCAAGGCAACGAUGCGUAGCCGACCUGAGAGGGUGAUCGGCCACACUGGAACUGAGACACGGUCCAGACUCCUACGGGAGGCAGCAGUAGGGAAUCUUCCGCAAUGGGCGAAAGCCUGACGGAGCAACGCCGCGUGAGUGAUGAAGGUCUUCGGAUCGUAAAACUCUGUUAUUAGGGAAGAACAAAUGUGUAAGUAACUAUGCACGUCUUGACGGUACCUAAUCAGAAAGCCACGGCUAACUACGUG